This 311-nucleotide ribosomal RNA is filed under the name uncultured bacterium. RNAcentral's name for it is "bacterial SSU rRNA". It matches the Rfam family "Bacterial small subunit ribosomal RNA", at positions 29 to 334 of the family's 1533-position model. The record is from RNAcentral.
AACGAACGCUGGCGGCGCGUUUUAAGCAUGCGAGUCGAACGGUAGAGUUACUUCGGUAGCUUGAGAGUGGCGAACGGGUGAGUAACACGUAGAUGAGUCUGCCUUGAGGUUUGGGAUAGCCUAUAGAAAUAUGGGGUAAUACCGGAGUAAUUUCUUACUACUUUGGUAGUUUGAGGAAAGGGGCUUCGGCCUCGCUUUAAGAUGAGUCUGCGGCUUAUUAGCUAGUUGGUAGGGUAAUGGCUUACCAAGGCGACGAUAAGUAGCCGGCCUGAGAGGGUGACCGGCCACAUUGGGACUGAGACACGGCCCAA